This 1426-nucleotide ribosomal RNA is filed under the name Dendropsophus leali (Leal's treefrog). RNAcentral describes it as "partial 16S ribosomal RNA". It matches the Rfam family "Bacterial large subunit ribosomal RNA", at positions 436 to 2597 of the family's 2925-position model. The record is from RNAcentral. Lineage: Eukaryota; Metazoa; Chordata; Amphibia; Anura; Hylidae.
GCUAAAAACCUAGCCCCACCCAACCCUAUGACCUCAAACCCCUACACCCCAAACAAAAACAUUUACCCUUGUUUAGUAAAGGCGAUUGAAAAACUAAUUAGCGCUAUAACAGUAAUACCGCAAGGAAAAGAUGAAAUAAAAAUGAAACAAAUUUCAAGCACAAAAAAGCAGAGACAUACCCUCGUACCUUUCGCAUCAUGAUUUAACUAGUUUAAUCAAGCGUAAAGAACUUUAAGUUUGACACCCCGAAACUAGACGAGCUACUUCGAGGCAGCCUAACGAGCCCCCCCGUCUCUGUUGCAAAAGAGUGGGAAGACCCCCAAGUAGCGGUGACAGACCUAACGAGUCUAGUGAUAGCUGGUUACUUAAGAAAAGGAUUUAAGUCCUGCCUAAAGCAUAUAAAAUCCACCUAAAUAUUGCCCAUGCUCUAGAGCCACUCAAACGAGGUACAGCCCGUUUGAAAUAGGAUACAACCUACACUACUGGGUAAAUUCUUUUAUCCUGUUAAACAAGUGGGCCUAAAAGCAGCCACCUUUAAAAAAGCGUCAAAGCUUUCUUGUACAACUAACUCAAUUCCACAAUUUUUUAUAAACCCUUUAUUACUAUUAAGUUUCUCUAUACCCCUAUAGAAGCAAUUAUGUUAAAACUAGUAACAAGAAGACAGACCUUCUCUUAAAUGUAAGUGUAAAUCAGAAAGGACAAGCCACUGAUAAUUAAACACUAAUGAACACAAAACAGUAACCUCACUAGAAAACCCUGUUUCUUCUGGUGUUAAUCUGACACUAGCUCAUUUCAAGAAAGAUUUAAAGAAAAAGAAGGAACUCGGCAAACAUUAGCCCCGCCUGUUUACCAAAAACAUCGCCUCUUGAACCUACAUAAGAGGUCCCGCCUGCCCAGUGACCAAGUUCAACGGCCGCGGUAUCCUAACCGUGCGAAGGUAGCGUAAUCACUUGUUCUUUAAAUGAGGACUAGUAUGAAUGGCACCACGAGGGCUAUACUGUCUCCUUUUUCUAAUCAAUGAAACUGAUCCCCCCGUGAAGAAGCGGGGAUGAAUAUAUAAGACGAGAAGACCCUAUGGAGCUUUAAACAAAAUAGCACUGGCCCCCUCUUUUUACCCUCCAGAAACAUAACACCUAUACUGGCCAAAAUGACUAUUAGUUUUAGGUUGGGGUGACCACGGAGCAAAAAUUAACCUCCACAUUGAACGGAAAUACUCCUGAGCUAAAAGCUACGACUUUAAGCACCAAUAAACUGACAUUAAUUGACCCAAUAUUUUGAUCAACGAACCAAGUUACCCUAGGGAUAACAGCGCAAUCCAUUUCAAGAGCUCCUAUCGACAAAUGGGUUUACGACCUCGAUGUUGGAUCAGGGUACCCCAGUGGUGCAGCCGCUACUAAAGGUUCGUUUGUUCAACGAUUAAAACCCU